Molecule: ribosomal RNA, 427 nt
Filed under: uncultured bacterium
Lineage: Bacteria
Description: bacterial SSU rRNA
Rfam family: Bacterial small subunit ribosomal RNA
Source: RNAcentral
GGGGAAUAUUGCGCAAUGGGGGAAACCCUGACGCAGCGACGCCGUGUGAGGGAAGAAGGCUUUCGGGUCGUAAACCUCUGUCGGGAAGGAAGAACCCCCCAGGUCCGAAUAGGGCCUGGGGCUGACGGUACUUCCAAAGGAAGCACCGGCUAACUCCGUGCCAGCAGCCGCGGUAAUACGGAGGGUGCAAGCGUUAAUCGGAAUCACUGGGCGUAAAGCGCGCGUAGGCGGCUUUUUAAGUCGGACGUGAAAUACCCGGGCUUAACUUGGGGGGUGCAUCUAAUACUGGAGGGCUAGAGUGCAGGAGAGGGAAGCGGAAUUCCUAGUGUAGCGGUGAAAUGCGUAGAUAUUAGGAGGAACACCAGUGGCGAAGGCGGCUUUCUGGACUGUAACUGACACUGAGGCACGAAAGCGUGGGGAGCAAACA